This is a long non-coding RNA of Physella acuta, 359 nucleotides long. RefSeq lists it as uncharacterized. Lineage: Eukaryota; Metazoa; Mollusca; Gastropoda; Physidae. The record is from RefSeq and is a predicted model, not a curated record.
UUUAGUAAAGACGUACGGGUUUAGCGCUAUCCACACAACCCCUUCAUGUGCAGAAAUUAAAGAACAUGUUAACUCUUCUUCACCCAUACAUGGACUUUCAGUUUCGAAAAGUGAAUCUAAGUCGUCGAUGCUAAAAUGGAGGACCUAGAUUAGCCGUUUUCAUAAGGAAGUCUACUAAUCGUCAUCCAAGUCAUCGCUCUGUUCUGUAGCUUCACCAAGACAAGAUUUCGGCAGUACAGUAGGAAUAAAAUUUGAAGAAGACUCAUUUGUUUCCAACAUAUCUACAGCGUGCCAGAUUUCUAUGAAGUUGUCAAGACUCAACACGUCUUCACCGGUGUACAAAGUUUUCAGGAUUAACU